CAGCAGGGGGCAGCAGCAGCUCAGGAGCAAGCAGCCGCCGCAGGAAGACGAAGGCUUCUUCUCCAAACUAAAGAAAAUGUUUAGCUGACAACAGGCUGCAGGUAGAAAACCUCGAACCAGGUGAAGGAAGACAAAUCCACCGACUGCUGCACGCUGCCUCCUCCUGUGUGGACACACACACACACACACACACACACACACAGGACUGUGGUUCAGCUCUGCAGACAGAUGCUCCGCCAACACUUGGACCACACUGAGUGUCGGACAGCUUCUUCUGCAGGAUGCUUCACGCCAACAUGUCUCCUCGCUUCCUUCACUCGCGUCUCUUCCUCGCAGGAGAAGAAGAAAUCCUUGUUUGCAUAUAAACAUAUUCAAACUGUGUGACGUGCAGCGUUUAUACGUCACGCUGCAGGACAGUCGUGUUCCCUCCUGCAGAAGCCUCCUCACUCCUCGAGCAGCGAUCACAGGAAGGCAGAGGACACGAGGAAGCGUGAAGUAACUGUAAAGACAACGUACACUAAACAUGCAGUUCUGAGAGAUGCUUUGGGAAAAUAUUCUAAUAUAAUAGAGAAGAGAAGUUGUGAUCACGGUUUCUCUUCUUAGUCCAGUAAGAUUUAUUUUGUGAAUGAUUCAUCAACGGAUGCUGAGACUUCCUGUAGUCGUAUUUAGCGUCAGAUGUCUUUACUUUGAUUUGUUGUGAAACUGCUUAAUUUAAUAAAUGAAGCAAAUUCUUAAUAAACUUUAA
Cottoperca gobio is the source of this 745-nucleotide long non-coding RNA. RefSeq lists it as uncharacterized. The transcript is spliced from 2 exons. Lineage: Eukaryota; Metazoa; Chordata; Actinopteri; Perciformes; Bovichtidae. The record is from RefSeq and is a predicted model, not a curated record.